This is a long non-coding RNA of Cyprinus carpio (common carp), 340 nucleotides long. RefSeq lists it as uncharacterized. The transcript has 3 exons. The record is from RefSeq and is a predicted model, not a curated record. NCBI's taxonomy places the organism in Eukaryota, Metazoa, Chordata, Actinopteri, Cypriniformes, Cyprinidae.
AGUGGCUGUAAUAUUUCAGGUUACUAAAAAUGAACUGAACUGAAGACCAUAUUAGACCGCAUUGGCAGUUGCAUCCUUUCUUUGGUUUGAGAAGUUUUUCAGACUGGCAAAGUGAAUGCAGAUGCUUUUCAGAGGAGCUUUCUGCAAUAUGUGUACUGCAGCUCUGAAGAGGACCAACUUCUGGAAAAAGGAGCCAUUUGUCUGUCCAGCCUGUAGUCCUGAAACGGUGGCUGUUUCAGUGGAUGGCAACAGAAAACUCUACAGGUUCCAGAAAGCAAACCAGAGUGAAGAGCCAGGGUUUUUUGAUGGAGUGUUUUUAUCCCAAGACUCUGAGGUGUCC